Molecule: ribosomal RNA, 913 nt
Filed under: uncultured archaeon
Lineage: Archaea
Description: bacterial SSU rRNA
Rfam family: Archaeal small subunit ribosomal RNA
Source: RNAcentral
UUCCGGUUGAUCCUGCCGGACCUGACUGCUAUCGGAUUGAUACUAAGCCAUGCGAGUUUUUGUAGUAAUACAAGGCAGACGGCUCAGUAACACGUAGUCAAUCUAACCUAUGGACGAGGAUAACCUCGGGAAACUGAGAAUAAUACUCGAUAGAUCAUUAUGCCUGGAACGGUUUAUGGUUCAAAUGAAUUUCGCCAUAGGAUGGGACUGCGGUCUAUCAGCUUGUUGGUGAGGUAAUGGCCCACCAAGGCUAUUACAGAUACGGGCUCUGAGAGGAGAAGCCCGGAGAUGGGUACUGAGACACGGACCCAGGCCCUAUGGGGCGCAGCAGGCGAGAAAACUUUGCAAUGUGCGAAAGCACGACAAGGUUAAUCCGAGUGAUUCCUGCUAAAGGAAUCUUUUGUUAGUCAUAAUACCACUAAUGAAUAAGGGGUGGGCAAGUUCUGGUGUCAGCCGCCGCGGUAAAACCAGCACCUCAAGUGGUCAGGAUGAUUAUUGGGCCUAAAGCAUCCGUAGCCGGCUUUGUAAGUUUUCGGUUAAAUCUAUAUGCUCAACAUAUAGGCUGCCGGGAAUACUGCAAAGCUAGGGAGUGGGAGAGGUAGACGGUACUCCGUAGGAAGGGGUAAAAUCCUUUGAUCUAUGGAUGACCACCUGUGGCGAAGGCGGUCUACCAGAACACGUUCGACGGUGAGGGAUGAAAGCUGGGGGAGCAAACCGGAUUAGAUACCCGGGUAGUCCCAGCUGUAAACUAUGCAAACUCAGUGAUGCAUUGGCUUGUGGCCAGUGCAGUGCCGCAGGGAAGCCGUUAAGUUUGCCGCCUGGGAAGUACGUACGCAAGUAUGAAACUUAAAGGAAUUGGCGGGGGAGCACCACAAGGGGUGAAGCCUGCGGUUUAAUUGGAGUCAACGCCGGA